This 23-nucleotide non-coding RNA is filed under the name Cricetulus griseus (Chinese hamster). The record is from RNAcentral. Lineage: Eukaryota; Metazoa; Chordata; Mammalia; Rodentia; Cricetidae.
ACUGACUGCUCUUCCAGAGGUCC